This 3377-nucleotide long non-coding RNA is filed under the name Homo sapiens (human). RNAcentral's name for it is "non-protein coding SCHLAP1:10". Lineage: Eukaryota; Metazoa; Chordata; Mammalia; Primates; Hominidae. The record is from RNAcentral.
UCCACCUUUACUUUCUUCUCUUAAUGUUUAUAAUUAGGUCGUUACCUUAAAUUCUCCUAUUGCUUAUGUUUGUCACUUUAAAUGAUAUCUUUAACCUCUAUUUCUUGUUCUGUGAAUUUUAGGUAGGAUCCCUUAACUCUACACUUUAAAAAUUAAGAUAUGGUAGAAUUUUUUUGGCAAGAAAAAAAUUAAAAAGAAGAAAAACUUAAGCUAUUUGGCUCCUUACUCUUCCUUCAACUUUUCUUCCACACCAGAGUCCUUUCCACAUCCCACCAUCUACCACCUACUUUUUCCUUUUAUAUUUCCAAGGUUGUUAACAUUUACCUUCAUGCAAUCACCACCCGGGUUUCUGUGCUUUUUCACAGAUUGACUCUAAAUAUAAUGACCCAGAAACAGCAUUUACAUUAUCCUUAUUGUGUAAAUAUUCUUUAAAGUUGGACCAAGUACUAUAUUAAGAUUGCAUUACUUUUUUCUGUGGACCAAAUACAACCCCUAGGGUCACUCAAAAGAGAUUGUGAUGGCUUUGUAAUGUGUUAGUGCGUUAUGCUACCAGCUAGGCUGACCUAUGUGUUCUGGAAUUCCUCUCCCUAUAUGAUUCAUAUUAGAUUGGGCCACAAGAGACAUUCUGUGUCAGAUUUUGAAGGCAGAAAUGAAAAAGUGGUUAUAUUGUUUGUAUGCUCAGAAGAUCAAGGAAGAGGCAACAGGAGGUUUUAGCUCUCACAUAUUUUCUUAUUUAGCAGCUCACAUUGUUGGGUAGGAGCAGAAGCCCAGCCUGCAGCUGCUCCAUCUUCCCCUAGGUCUUUCUGUUUCUUCUUCUUUCAGUUUCUUCUACGCCAGGUGUGUGCUUAGCUCCAUGACAAAAGGUGACAGCUUAUUCUGCAGCACACACACAUCAUCAAAGUGGGAGGUGGUGAGACUGGCACACUGACAGUCUGUCCUAGCAGAUUUCAGCUCACACUGGUGAGUUCCAGCAUGCUUAUACCGCUAUUUUACACGUCUUCCCUUCGCCAUUGUCUAUCUGCAGACUUCUCCAACAUCAGAUGCCAGAUGUCUCAUGGAAACUAAAUAACUUCUACAAUUGUGUGUGUAUUUAUAUAAUUGAUACAAAUAUUGGUUCUAACAUCAAUUCCAAGUUGAUUUUUUAACAUUCAACAAUUACUUCCAAUUGUGUCACUUCUUAUUUUGCUUCAUAUUUUUUACUGACAUUUCUAAUUAUAUUUCUUGGUUCCUUGAAUUUGUAACUUUAUCAUACUCAUAUUCUUCCUCAUUCUUAAUCAUAUUGUCCAUAGAGUUCCUUCCCCCACACCUUUCCCCCAACCCCAUAGAUAAACUUAUUUAUUUCCUUCAAUCGAGGACUAUGCAAACUAUAAUUAUGGGAUUUCUUUGACUUCUUUACCAGUUAGACACACUGUUUCCAAAAUUCCAUAUAACCUUUGUGCACUCUUCUGUUUUACUUUAAUAUAUCCUGUUAGUCACAAAGAAAAAUUGAUGAAGAAUAAAUAUUUUGAAUUUUGCAUGAUUAAAAAUGUCUUCAAACAAUCAUCAUAUAUGGUUGAUGGUCUGAGCAUAAAACAUUUUGUCUCAUAAAUUUGAAAAAUAUUUUUAUAGAAGUUUUUAGUGUCUUUUCUCCUUGGUGAUCUGUAAAAUGUUACAAGAAUAUGCCUUUGUGGGGAUCUUUUUGCAGUCUCAGACACCUAGUGGAUCCAGAUCCUUUUAAUCUGAAGACUCAUGUCCUUUUCAGUUUUAAAUAAUUUCCUUAUAUCCGUAUCUUUAAUAAUACUUCCUCUUCCAUCGCCACCACCCCAUCCUAACCCCAAGCACGCACUAUUUUUUGUUCUCUUUCUAAGACUCUUACUAACCAAAAGUUGAACAUUCCAUAUUUGAACCCUAUGCCUCAUUUCCUUGCUAACAUUUCCAUUACUUUCUCAUUUGGGUCUACUUUCUGGGAGAUUAUUAUCUUUUAUCUCAAUGGUUACAUUUUAAUCUGUAGAAGCUCUCUUUUAUUGUGUAAUAGUUUUCUUUGCAUUACUUUCCUGUUCUUGGAUUAAGAUUAAUAAAAAAAUACUAAUAUCCUCUUUAAAUUUCUAUGAAUAUAUUAACUAUUUCAGAUACAAUGGAAAGGACACUGGCCUUGAGUCAGAUAUCUGGACCUUGAUUAUUUAAUGUACCAAACAAGGAUAAUAUUUACUAUUCCACAGGAUUAUUUUGAAUAUUAAAAGAGAUAAUAUAUUUUAAGAGCCUUGUAAAUUAUGAAAUAUGUAAGUACAACAUAAGAAAGAUAUUUAAAUUAUUAUAUAUCCCUGCAUGACAAUGUUUCUGAGCAUGGCAAUUAAAUGCUUUUACGAACCCACGUUUAGUUAUUUCCUUCUAUAAUGUUCUAUAUACAUAAAACUUCAACCACAUCACACAAUGAAACUUGUGGAGUUAUUUUUUUGAGUCCUUUGCUGUCAUUCCUCCAGGCCUUGCUUUUGUUAAUGGAGCAGACACUGUCAUAUAUACCCAAUAUUCAUUUUCCACAUCUUCAGUAAUAAAAUCCUGUUUUUAGCAAAACACAUCAUUUCCCCACUUCUCCACCUCUCUUGAGGUUGCUUCCAGAAAUAAACAGAAUCAGUGUACACAACUUUUGGUAAAUGUUUGGAAAUAAAGAGGGCAUGCUCUUCUUCCCUACUAUCCCUUUCCUUUCUGCUGGCUGGAAUGCAGAUAUGAUGAAUGGAAAUAAUGUGGCCGUCUUAGAGCCUGAGCUGGAAGCCAUGUAUGGAAUAUGGUGGAGAAACAACAUGGAGGGAACACCCUUGGCUCCUACCUCUGAGUACAGUACCCAUGCUAGACUAACUAUACCUAGAUUUCUUUUAUGGGAGCAAGAGACAGUUUCCUAGCUUGUCAGACCAAUAUAACUUGGGGUUUUCUACUACUCCAUGAUGAACCUAAUCCUAAUUAAUAUGCUGUUAUAGUUUCUCAGCCUUUUGGUUAAGAUCAGAUAUACUAAGACACUCCCCAUCAGGACAUGACAGUAUUUACUCAUCCUUUAUGAGCCAAUGAAAGCAUCACCCUCUCUAGUAAGUCCUGCCUAAUGAGACCUCCCCAAUAGGAUUUAAUGUCUUUAUUAUAGAAUAUAUUUUUCAUGAGACAAAGGAUCCUGUUUAUUUUAUUCACUAGUGUGUGCCUAGUGCCUUGAAAAAUGUGUGGGCCAUAUUAAGCAGGUGUUUGUUUGUUUUUUGAGAUGCAGUCUCGUUCCACCACGCAUGGCCUUAAGCAGUUAAAUAGUUGUUAAGUAUGCACAACUCUAUAACCCUUAGGAUUUUGUGGUUACCUCAGCUAAACCAUAGAUGCUUUUCCCAAGCCUCUCUCCCUACACAAAUUGUAACCUCACUAGCGGG